ACGCUCGACACCUACGGGAGGCAGCAGUGAGGGAUAUUGGUCAAUGGGGGAAACCCUGAACCAGCAACGCCGCGUGAGGGAUGAAGUAUUUCGGUAUGUAAAGCUCUAUCAGCAGGGAAGAAACUGACGGUACCUGACUAAGAAGCACCGGCUAAAUACGUGCCGGCAGCCGCGGUAAUCUGAGCGGGCUGGCAAGGC
RNAcentral lists this ribosomal RNA (198 nucleotides) under uncultured bacterium. RNAcentral's name for it is "partial 16S ribosomal RNA". It matches the Rfam family "Bacterial small subunit ribosomal RNA", at positions 328 to 539 of the family's 1533-position model. The record is from RNAcentral.